Molecule: unclassified non-coding RNA, 144 nt
Filed under: uncultured Cenococcum
Lineage: Eukaryota; Fungi; Ascomycota; Dothideomycetes; Gloniales; Gloniaceae
Description: sequence contains ITS2
Source: RNAcentral
CACCAUUCAAGCCUGGCUUGGUGUUGGGCGACGUCCCCUUCGGGGACACGCUUUGAAACGCUCGGCGGCGUGGCAUCGGCUUUAAGCGUAGCAGAAUCUUUCGCUUUGAAAGUCGGGGCCCCGUCUGCCGGAAGACCUACUCAA